AGAAGUGUAAACCUUUUUAUUUACC
RNAcentral lists this transfer RNA (25 nucleotides) under Acinonyx jubatus (cheetah). RNAcentral describes it as "partial tRNA-His". Lineage: Eukaryota; Metazoa; Chordata; Mammalia; Carnivora; Felidae. The record is from RNAcentral.